RNAcentral lists this ribosomal RNA (534 nucleotides) under Tasmanocoenis sp. BYU IGCEP157. Its description in RNAcentral is "Tasmanocaenis sp. BYU IGCEP157 partial 16S ribosomal RNA". It matches the Rfam family "Bacterial large subunit ribosomal RNA", at positions 1797 to 2612 of the family's 2925-position model. Lineage: Eukaryota; Metazoa; Arthropoda; Insecta; Ephemeroptera; Caenidae. The record is from RNAcentral.
CGCCUGUUUAUCAAAAACAUAGCCUCUUGGCGUUAUAAGAGGUAUAGCCUGCCCACUGAUUUUUUAAAAGGCCGCGGUAUUUUGACCGUGCAAAGGUAGCAUAAUCAUUAGUCUUUUAAUUGGAGGCUGGAAUGAAGGGCUGCACAUAACUAAAGCUGUCUCAUUUGAAUAAAUUAAUUUAACUUUUAAGUGAAAAGGCUUAAAUAGAUUAAGGGGACGAGAAGACCCUAUAGAUCUUUAUUAAUUAAAAAUUUAUAUCUUUAGAAGAUUUUAAAUAUAAGUUUGUGUUAAUUAUAUUGGGGUGAUAAGAAAAUAAUGAAACUUUUCUUUUUAAAACAAUUAUUUUUGGUUAAAUGAUCCUUAAAAAGAGAUUGUAAGUUUAAGUUACCUUAGGGAUAACAGCGUAAUUUUUUUGGAGAGUUCUUAUCGAUAAAAAAGUUUGCGACCUCGAUGUUGGACUAAGAAUAGUGUUAGGGGCAGCCCCUUAAUAUACUAGGUCUGUUCGACCUUUAAAUUCUUACAUGAUCUGAGUUC